CAUCCAUGCAGGAAUGUACCAUGAAGCAACACUCAAGUUCUGCUUGUAUGACUGGACCUGCUAGGUUACAAAAUGUAAGCCAAAGUUCAGCUCCUGGGGGAGGAAUCCCAAUCCCAGGUACUACCAGCACACAGAAGAG
RNAcentral lists this long non-coding RNA (139 nucleotides) under Amazona collaria (yellow-billed parrot). RNAcentral describes it as "lncRNA (ENSACOG00000008315.1)". Lineage: Eukaryota; Metazoa; Chordata; Aves; Psittaciformes; Psittacidae. The record is from RNAcentral.